AAUCAACGCUGGCGGCGUGCCUCAGACAUGCAAGUCGAACGAUUAAAGCUCUCUUCGGAGAGUGUAUAGAGUGGCGCACGGGUGAGUAACACGUAAGUAAUCUACCCUCGAGUGGGGAAUAACAACCGGAAACGGUUGCUAAUACCGCAUAAUGCAGCGGCACCGCAAGGUGACAGUUGUUAAAGAUUUAUCGCUUGAGGAGGAGCUUGCGGCAGAUUAGCUAGUUGGUAGGGUAACGGCUUACCAAGGCUACGAUCUGUAACCGGUCUAAGGGGACGGUCGGUCACACUGACACUGAAUAACGGGUCAGACUCCUACGGGAGGCAGCAGUCGGGAAUUUUGGGCAAUGGGCGAAAGCCUGACCCAGCAACGCCGCGCGAAGGAUGAAGUAUUUCGGUAUGUAAACUUCGAAAGAAUAGGAAGAAUUAAUGACGGUACUAUUUAUAAGGUCCGGCUAACUACGUG
This 465-nucleotide ribosomal RNA is filed under the name uncultured bacterium. RNAcentral describes it as "bacterial SSU rRNA". It matches the Rfam family "Bacterial small subunit ribosomal RNA", at positions 32 to 507 of the family's 1533-position model. The record is from RNAcentral.